UGCCAAAAAGUGCAUGCAGUGGGAAA
RNAcentral lists this non-coding RNA (26 nucleotides) under Homo sapiens (human). Lineage: Eukaryota; Metazoa; Chordata; Mammalia; Primates; Hominidae. The record is from RNAcentral.